RNAcentral lists this ribosomal RNA (497 nucleotides) under uncultured bacterium. RNAcentral describes it as "partial 16S ribosomal RNA". It matches the Rfam family "Bacterial small subunit ribosomal RNA", at positions 28 to 507 of the family's 1533-position model. The record is from RNAcentral.
GAUGAACGCUGGCGGCGUGCCUAAUACAUGCAAGUCGAGCGAACGGACGAGAAGCUUGCUUCUCUGAUGUUAGCGGCGGACGGGUGAGUAACACGUGGAUAACCUACCUAUAAUACUGGGAUAACUUCGGGAAACCGGAGCUAAUACCGUAUGAUAUUUUGAACCGCAUGGUUCAAUAGUGAAAGACGGUCUUGCUGUCACUUAUAGAUGGAUCCGCGCUGCAUUAGCUAGUUGGUAAGGUAACGGCUUACCAAGGCAACGAUGCAUAGCCGACCUGAGAGGGUGAUCGGCCACACUGGAACGGAGACACGGUCCAGACUCCUACGGGAGGCAGCAGUAGGGAAUCUUCCGCAAUGGGCGAAAGCCUGACGGAGCAGCGCGGCGUGAGUGAUGACGGUCUUCGGAUCGUAAAACUCUGUUAUUAGGGAAGAACAUAUGUGUAAGUAACUGUGCACAUCUUGACGGUACCUAAUCAGAAAGCCACGGCUAACUACGUG